Molecule: long non-coding RNA, 449 nt
Filed under: Monodelphis domestica (gray short-tailed opossum)
Lineage: Eukaryota; Metazoa; Chordata; Mammalia; Didelphimorphia; Didelphidae
Description: lncRNA (ENSMODG00000045401.1)
Source: RNAcentral
CUCCAUGUAUGAUGGUAUAUUACUUUUGUGUUUUCAUUCCAUCUAGGCAAGCUCAGCAGUACCAGUUGAUGGCCCUCUUUCCUACAUAAGUCAUAGGACUUAGAAACUUAAAGGGACCAUAAAGAUCAUCCAGCCACACUCCCUCAUUUUACAGAUGUGGAUUGUCAAAAUGAUCACUUUUCAAUAAAGCCAUUGAACAGGCUCCAUGGUGUCUGGAGACUUGAAGUUUCUCCUUCUCAAAGAAGAGUUGCUGCCCAUUUGGUUGCAUGAUCUAAUGGAAUUUGUAGCUGGAUAAGCACAUUAGCGACAGGAACCACAAAGAACAGAAGUGUGUAUUUAUGGGGCAGCCCUGCCGAUGAAGGUGAUCGUAAGUCAAUGCCUCACGACUCCCCAGCCUUUGUCACAUUAAUUCACUUGUGCACACAAGAUGUCCACAGCUCCUAAGGGUG